This 310-nucleotide ribosomal RNA is filed under the name Pseudomonas fluorescens. RNAcentral's name for it is "bacterial SSU rRNA". It matches the Rfam family "Bacterial small subunit ribosomal RNA", at positions 33 to 345 of the family's 1533-position model. Lineage: Bacteria; Pseudomonadati; Pseudomonadota; Gammaproteobacteria; Pseudomonadales; Pseudomonadaceae. The record is from RNAcentral.
ACGCUGGCGGCAGGCCUAACACAUGCAAGUCGAGCGGAUGAAGGGAGCUUGCUCCUGGAUUCAGCGGCGGACGGGUGAGUAAUGCCUAGGAAUCUGCCUGGUAGUGGGGGACAACGUUUCGAAAGGAACGCUAAUACCGCAUACGUCCUACGGGAGAAAGCAGGGGACCUUCGGGCCUUGCGCUAUCAGAUGAGCCUAGGUCGGAUUAGCUAGUUGGUGAGGUAAUGGCUCACCAAGGCGACGAUCCGUAACUGGUCUGAGAGGAUGAUCAGUCACACUGGAACUGAGACACGGUCCAGACUCCUACGGG